This 448-nucleotide ribosomal RNA is filed under the name uncultured bacterium. RNAcentral describes it as "bacterial SSU rRNA". It matches the Rfam family "Bacterial small subunit ribosomal RNA", at positions 46 to 507 of the family's 1533-position model. The record is from RNAcentral.
GCUUAACACAUGCAAGUCGAACGGUGACGGAGAGCUUGCUCUCCUGAUCAGUGGCGAACGGGUGAGUAACACGUGGGCAACCUGCCCCAGACUUCGGGAUAACGCUUCGAAAGAGGUGCUAAUACCGAAUACGAACCUCCCUGGCAUCUGGGAGGUUGGAAAGUUUUUCGGUCUGGGAUGGGCCCGCGGCCUAUCAGCUUGUUGGUGAGGUAACGGGCUUCACCAAGGCGACGACGGGUAGCCGGCCUGAGAGGGCGACCGGCCACACUGGGACUGAGACACGGCCCAGACUCCUACGGGAGGCAGCAGUGGGGAAUAUUGCGCAAUGGCGAAAGCCUGACGCAGCAACGCCGCGUGAGGGAUGACGGCCUUCGGGUUGUAAACCUCUUUCAGCAGGGAAGAAGCGAAAGUGACGGUACCUGCAGAAGAAGCACCGGCUAACUACGUG